Molecule: ribosomal RNA, 492 nt
Filed under: uncultured bacterium
Lineage: Bacteria
Description: partial 16S ribosomal RNA
Rfam family: Bacterial small subunit ribosomal RNA
Source: RNAcentral
AGUGAACGCUGGCGGUAGGCCUAACACAUGCAAGUCGAACGGCAGCACAGUAAGAGCUUGCUCUUACGGGUGGCGAGUGGCGGACGGGUGAGGAAUACAUCGGAAUCUACUUUUUCGUGGGGGAUAACGUAGGGAAACUUACGCUAAUACCGCAUACGACCUACGGGUGAAAGCAGGGGAUCUUCGGACCUUGCGCGAUUGAAUGAGCCGAUGCCGGAUUAGCUAGUUGGCGGGGUAAAGGCCCACCAAGGCGACGAUCCGUAGCUGGUCUUAGAGGAUGAUCCGCCACACUGGAACUUGAACACGGUCCAAACCCCUACGGGAGGCAGCAGUGGGGAAUAUUGGACAAUGGGCGCAAGCCUGAUCCAGCCAUACCGCGUGGGUGAAGAAGGCCUUCGGGUUGUAAAGCCCUUUUGUUGGGAAAGAAAAGCAGCAGGUUAAUACCCCGCUGUUCUGACGGUACCCAAAGAAUAAGCACCGGCUAACUUCGUG